GCUAGCGGCAGGCCUAACACAUGCAAGUAGAACGGUAACAGAGAGAGCUUGCUCUUUGCUGACGAGUUGCGAACGGGUGCGUAACGCGUAUGCAACCUACCCAUAACAGGGGGAUAGCCCAUAGAAAUGUGGAUUAAUACCCCAUAACAUCAUAGAUUGGCAUCAUGAAAUGAUUAAAACUCCGGUGGUUAUGGAUGGGCAUGCGUGACAUUAGCUAGUUGGUGAGGUAACUGCUCACCAAGGCGACGAUGUCUAGGGGUUCUGAGAGGAUGAUCCCCCACACUGGUACUGAGACACGGACCAGACUCCUACGGGAGGCAGCAGUGAGGAAUAUUGCGCAAUGGAGGAAACUCUGACGCAGCCAUGCCGCGUGCAGGAAGACUGCCCUAUGGGUUGUAAACUGCUUUUAUAUAGGAAGAACUACAGCUACGUGUAGCUGUUUGACGGUACUAUACGAAUAAGGACCGGCUAACUCCGUGCCAGCAGCCGCGGUAAUACGGAGGGUCCAAGCGUUAUCCGGAUUUAUUGGGUUUAAAGGGUCCGUAGGCGGGUUAUUAAGUCAGUGGUGAAAUCCUACAGCUCAACUGUAGAACUGCCAUUGAAACUGAUAACCUUGAGUAUAAUUGAAGUGGGCGGAAUGUGUCAUGUAGCGGUGAAAUGCUUAGAUAUGACACAGAACACCGAUUGCGAAGGCAGCUCACUAAGUUAUAACUGACGCUGAGGGACGAAAGCGUGGGUAGCGAACAGGAUUAGAUACCCUGGUAGUCCACGCCGUAAACGAUGUACACUCGUUGCUGGCGAUACACAGUCAGUGACCAAGCGAAAGUGUUAAGUGUACCACCUGGGGAGUACGCU
This 855-nucleotide ribosomal RNA is filed under the name uncultured Cryomorphaceae bacterium. Its description in RNAcentral is "bacterial SSU rRNA". It matches the Rfam family "Bacterial small subunit ribosomal RNA", at positions 35 to 886 of the family's 1533-position model. Lineage: Bacteria; Pseudomonadati; Bacteroidota; Flavobacteriia; Flavobacteriales; Cryomorphaceae. The record is from RNAcentral.